AUUGAACGCUGGCGGCAGGCCUAACACAUGCCAGUCGAACGGUAACAGGAAACAGCUUGCUGUUUCGCUGACGAGUGGCGGACGGGUGAGUAAUGUCUGGGAAACUGCCUGAUGGAGGGGGAUAACUACUGGAAACGGUAGCUAAUACCGCAUAACGUCGCAAGACCAAAGAGGGGGACCUUCGGGCCUCUUGCCAUCGGAUGUGCCCAGAUGGGAUUAGCUAGUAGGUGGGGUAACGGCUCACCUAGGCGACGAUCCCUAGCUGGUCUGAGAGGAUGACCAGCCACACUGGAACUGAGACACGGUCCAGACUCCUACGGGAGGCAGCAGUGGGGAAUAUUGUACAAUGGGCGCAAGCCUGAUGCAGCCAUGCCGCGUGUAUGAAGAAGGCCUUCGGGUUGUAAAGUACUUUCAGCGGGGAGGAAGGGAGUAAAGUUAAUACCUUUACUCAUUGACGUUACCCGCAGAAGAAGCACCGGCUAACUCCGUG
This 490-nucleotide ribosomal RNA is filed under the name uncultured bacterium. RNAcentral's name for it is "partial 16S ribosomal RNA". It matches the Rfam family "Bacterial small subunit ribosomal RNA", at positions 30 to 507 of the family's 1533-position model. The record is from RNAcentral.